UACGUAGGGGGCAAGCGUUGUCCGGAAUCAUUGGGCGUAAAGCGCGUGUAGGCGGCUCGUCAAGUCCGCUGUGAAAGUCCAGGGCUCAACCCUGGGAUGCCGGUGGAUACUGUCGAGCUUGAGUCCGGAAGAGGCGAGUGGAAUUCCUGGUGUAGCGGUGAAAUGCGCAGAUAUCAGGAGGAACACCAAUGGCGAAGGCAGCUCGCUGGGACGUGACUGACGCUGAGACGCGAAAGCGUGGGGAGCGAACCGG
Molecule: ribosomal RNA, 253 nt
Filed under: uncultured bacterium
Lineage: Bacteria
Description: partial 16S ribosomal RNA
Rfam family: Bacterial small subunit ribosomal RNA
Source: RNAcentral